RNAcentral lists this long non-coding RNA (274 nucleotides) under Hordeum vulgare. Its description in RNAcentral is "long non-coding RNA (HVUL_LNC015709)". The record is from RNAcentral. Lineage: Eukaryota; Viridiplantae; Streptophyta; Magnoliopsida; Poales; Poaceae.
CCAAUCUUCUUUGUUGUUGGCGUCCCGGCAGGUCCUCAUAUGGGCUUGGUCCUCGUCAAGAUCCCAAUCACCCAACUAAAUCCAAGCAAAACCACAUAAUCCAUCAUAAAAUUAGGUCAAAAUAUGGCAAUCACCUAACUAAAUCCAAAAAUUUCCAAAUUAAAUUAAAUAUUUGUUUAUCCACUGUCACAUCCCUGAAUCCCUAAUAGAGUAUAGCAAGUUUGUGCUCAUGUCUUCUUCAUUGCAUCCAAGUAAAUGAAAUGAAAAAAAACAA